Molecule: transfer RNA, 72 nt
Filed under: Cavia porcellus (domestic guinea pig)
Lineage: Eukaryota; Metazoa; Chordata; Mammalia; Rodentia; Caviidae
Rfam family: tRNA
About the family: Transfer RNA (tRNA) molecules are approximately 80 nucleotides in length.
Source: Rfam by way of RNAcentral
GGGGAUGUAGCUCAGUGGCACAGCACCUGCCUGGCAGGUGCGAAAUCCUGAGUUCAAUUCCUGGUAUCCCCA